Molecule: ribosomal RNA, 253 nt
Filed under: uncultured bacterium
Lineage: Bacteria
Description: partial 16S ribosomal RNA
Rfam family: Bacterial small subunit ribosomal RNA
Source: RNAcentral
UACAGAGGGUGCUAGCGUUGUUCGGAAUCAUUGGGCGUAAAGGGCGUGUAGGCGGUUUGUUAAGUCAUGUGUGAAAUCCCUCGGCUCAACCGGGGAACGACGCAUGAAACUGGCAAGCUAGAGUACCAAAGAGGGGGGUGGAAUUCCCGGUGUAGCGGUGAAAUGCGUAGAGAUCGGGAGGAACACCAGAGGCGAAAGCGGCGACCUGGACAGGCACUGACACUCAACUACGAAAGCGUGGGGAGCAAACAGG